Molecule: ribosomal RNA, 394 nt
Filed under: uncultured bacterium
Lineage: Bacteria
Description: bacterial SSU rRNA
Rfam family: Bacterial small subunit ribosomal RNA
Source: RNAcentral
GGAAUAUUGCACAAUGGGGGAAACCCUGAUGCAGCAACGCCGCGUGAGUGAUGACGGCCUUCGGGUUGUAAAGCUCUGUCUUCAGGGACGAUAAUGACGGUACCUGAGGAGGAAGCCACGGCUAACUACGUGCCAGCAGCCGCGGUAAUACGUAGGUGGCGAGCGUUGUCCGGAUUUACUGGGCGUAAAGGGAGCGUAGGCGGAUUUUUAAGUGAGAUGUGAAAUACUCGGGCUUAACCUGAGUGCUGCAUUUCAAACUGGAAGUCUAGAGUGCAGGAGAGGAGAAGGGAAUUCCUAGUGUAGCGGUGAAAUGCGUAGAGAUUAGGAAGAACACCAGUGGCGAAGGCGCUUCUCUGGACUGUAACUGACGCUGAGGCUCGAAAGCGUGGGGAGC